RNAcentral lists this transfer RNA (72 nucleotides) under Camelus bactrianus (Bactrian camel). It matches the Rfam family "tRNA". From Rfam's summary of the family: Transfer RNA (tRNA) molecules are approximately 80 nucleotides in length. Their secondary structure includes four short double-helical elements and three loops (D, anti-codon, and T loops). Lineage: Eukaryota; Metazoa; Chordata; Mammalia; Artiodactyla; Camelidae. RNAcentral also lists the same sequence under 2 other names. The record is from Rfam by way of RNAcentral.
GAGGGUACAGCUCAGUGGUAGAGCGCAUGCCUAGCAUGCAUGAGGUCCUGGGUUCAAGCCCCAGUAUCUCCA